GGAUGUGAGAGCGAUCUGCCUGUGACAGCUGUCACUGCCGAGUCAGCUAAUAUGGCUGGCUGGGCCGCUGUCCCCUUCCCUGUUCCUGGGCCGUGUGCAUUCUUCCCGAAGGUGCGCACUCCUUCAAGGAGGACAGCCUGCCCUGAGAGAGGACCAACUACCGUUCCCUCGGUCAAGGGUUUACGAGUAGCAGGGCUCCCCUGCCAGAACCUCCAGACAGACUCUCAGGAGUGCAGAGGGAAAAUGAGGAAGGUUGGAACUUAGUGAUCGAGAGGAAAUCUCUCAUUUUUU
This 291-nucleotide small nuclear RNA is filed under the name Chinchilla lanigera (long-tailed chinchilla). RNAcentral's name for it is "7SK RNA (ENSCLAG00000022074.1)". It matches the Rfam family "7SK RNA". Rfam says of the family: 7SK was discovered as an abundant small nuclear RNA in the mid-70s but a possible function has only recently been suggested. Two independent studies have found that 7SK RNA binds the CDK9/cyclin T complex (known as elongation factor P-TEFb). P-TEFb activates transcription by phosphorylating the C-terminal domain of RNA polymerase II. The record is from Rfam by way of RNAcentral. Lineage: Eukaryota; Metazoa; Chordata; Mammalia; Rodentia; Chinchillidae.